Long non-coding RNA from Phocoena sinus (vaquita), 1630 nucleotides. The record is from Ensembl. NCBI's taxonomy places the organism in Eukaryota, Metazoa, Chordata, Mammalia, Artiodactyla, Phocoenidae.
ACUGUGAGAACAGUUUCCUGACACAGAUCUGGCAUUGAAGUCAUUUUUUUAAGUGAAAAUAAAAACUUAAAAGAUAUGCACUCCACGUGAUUUUAGCAUAUAUGCAAAGGGUUUAAUCCUCAUGGGAUCCAGGUUCUCUGUUAAACUUUUUGAAGAACUGUAUGACUCAAACUAACAGUUGUGGAACCCCAGCAUUUAGAAUAAAACCUACUCAAGGGGGUGUAUGUUUGAAACCAUCCUUGGUAUAGAGGUGAUAAAUAGACCCUAAGUUCCUGCUUUGGUCGUAAGUUCUAAAGACUUUCCAAUGUUUUUUUCAACACAGUUGACUCCUAGAGUUGUCCUACCCUGAUGGAAUGAACCCUGUGCUACCAUUAGGUUGGUUACAGGCUUACCAGGCUCCCUUGGGUCCCAAUUGAACUUCCCAAUGUCCUGGAAGCUCUGAGGAUGCAGAUUAAGGGCCCAGUGUUUCUAAAUCUGCCUGACUGUAAGGAUCACCUGGGGUACUGAUUAAAUAAUAUAUCCAUUGGGCUAGGCCUGGGAAUGUGUUUUUUUUUUUACCAAGUGACCCAUGAGAUCCUUCAGGCAAGUUUGGGAAACUAGCCUAUCCAACUACAUUUAGGCUACUUAGUAAUAUGCAAUUUGGGAGUUGUAAUUGUUGGAAGUCUAUUUUCUGUGCUCUCACACACACACACACAAAAAUGAGAUCCAAAGUUGUCAGAUAGUGCACUUGUCAAAAAGUACAAAUAGGUGCUGUGAGUUCCUUAAAAGUGUGAGAAACUGAAGCAAAGAAGUCCACAAAGUAGAAGUCAGCAGUAUGCAUGCAUACUGGUAUCAGGAGUCCAAGGAGGCCAGGAACUCCUAGACAGGCCCUAAGGGGCAGCAGGGCUUCAGAAAAUCAGAAACAGGUAACACUGAGGUGGUGGUGGCAAGGCAUAAAGGUAGUUUGAGUUUCAAGACCCUAAGAGAGAGUGGAAGGGAAAAGGCAACCGCAAGGCACAAGAGCAAGUGCCACCGUCUGGAUUUUUUUUUUUUUUUUUUCACCAUCUGGAUUUAUUCAGUGAGGUAAGAACCAAUUCUAGCAGAGCUGGUUGAACUGAAAGUAGACCCAAAGUAAGCACAAACAGCCUCCCUUCACAGCUUCUACAACAGCUGUCCCUUUUACCUAGGACUCAGAGCAAGGGACAGAAUUGUAUAUAAGGUUUUAUUACAAGUAAACUGAUUUAACUCGGUUGAUUAUCUGAUCACAGAUUAGAAGGGGAGAAGUGUGACAGCCGAGAGCUGACUAGAAGGAGAGAGAGAAGCUGAUAUUAAAACUAUUUAAAAGGCAUAAUAUGAUUUUGCUACAUAGUAUUGUUCAUAAGAGUAAAAUAAUUCAAUCCAGUGUCCAACAACAGGAAAUUGGUUAAUGUGGUAGGUUCACAUAUUGGAAUACUAAACAGCCUUUCUAAAUGACCUAGAAGAAUAGGGAAUAAACUUGGAAAGUUUUCACUCUGUAGUCAAUGGACAAAACCUGUUAUAAAACAGCAUGUACAAUGUGGUCCAGUUUGGGGGGAAAGUGUAUAUUCAUGGGAGGAAAAAGCCUAAAAUUAAUAAUAGCUCAGAUUUGUUUGGUUUUUUUUUUAUUGUGGUU